AUUGAACGCUGGCGGCAUGCUUUACACAUGCAAGUCGAACGGCAGCGCGGGCUUCGGCCUGGCUGCUCGUGGCGAACGGGUGAGUAAUGCAUCUGAACGUGCCCAGUAUUGGGGGAUAGCCCGGCGAAAGCCGGAUUAAUACCACCUACUACCUGAUGGUGAAACCGGGGGACCGAAAGGCCUCUCGCUCUUUGAGCGGCCGAUGUCGGAUUAGCUAGUUGGUGGGGUAAAGGCUUACCAAGGCGACGAUCCGUAGCUGGUCUGAGAGGACGACCAGCCACACUGGGACUGAGACACGGCCCAGACUCCUACGGGAGGCAGCAGAGGGGAAUGUUGGACAAUGGGGGCAACCCUGAUCCAGCCAUGCCGAGUGCGGGAAGAAGGCCUUCGGGUUGUAAACCGCUUUUGUUCGGGAAGAAAUCCUCUGGGCUAAUACCACGGGGGGAUGACGGUACCGGAAGAAUAAGCACCGGCUAACUACGUG
This 484-nucleotide ribosomal RNA is filed under the name uncultured bacterium. RNAcentral's name for it is "partial 16S ribosomal RNA". It matches the Rfam family "Bacterial small subunit ribosomal RNA", at positions 30 to 507 of the family's 1533-position model. The record is from RNAcentral.